CAGUAGCCACGGUAAUACAGAGGGUGCGAGCGUUCAUCGGAUUUACUGGGCGUAAAGCGUGCGUAGGCGGCUUUUUAAGUCGGAUGUGAAAUCCCUGAGCUUAACUUAGGAAUUGCAUUCGAUACUGGGAAGCUAGAGUAUGGGAGAGGAUGGUAGAAUUCCAGGUGUAGCGGUGAAAUGCGUAGAGAUCUGGAGGAAUACCGAUGGCGAAGGCAGCCAUCUGGCCUAAUACUGACGCUGAGGUACGAAAGCAUGGGAGCAAACAGGAUUAGAUACCCCAGUAGUCCCUGUCUCUUAUACA
Molecule: ribosomal RNA, 301 nt
Filed under: uncultured bacterium
Lineage: Bacteria
Description: partial 16S ribosomal RNA
Rfam family: Bacterial small subunit ribosomal RNA
Source: RNAcentral